This 509-nucleotide ribosomal RNA is filed under the name uncultured Glomus. Its description in RNAcentral is "SSU rRNA". It matches the Rfam family "Eukaryotic small subunit ribosomal RNA", at positions 569 to 1082 of the family's 1831-position model. Lineage: Eukaryota; Fungi; Glomeromycota; Glomeromycetes; Glomerales; Glomeraceae. The record is from RNAcentral.
AGCAGCCGCGGUAAUUCCAGCUCCAAUAGCGUAUAUUAAAGUUGUUGCAGUUAAAAAGCUCGUAGUUGAAUUUCGGGAUCAGUAUGUUGGUCGUGCUUCGGUACGUACUGUCAUUACUGGUUUCUACCUUCUGAAGAACCUUGAUGUCAUUAAUUUGGUGUCUUGGGGAAUCAGGACUGUUACUUUGAAAAAAUUAGAGUGUUUAAAGCAAGCAUACGCUUGAAUACAUUAGCAUGGAAUAAUGAAAUAGGACGUUUGAUUCUAUUUUGUUGGUUUCUAGGAUCGACGUAAUGAUUAAUAGGGAUAGUUGGGGGCAUUAGUAUUCAAUUGUCAGAGGUGAAAUUCUUGGAUUUAUUGAAGACUAACUACUGCGAAAGCAUUUGCCAAGGAUGUUUUCAUUAAUCAAGAACGAAAGUUAGGGGAUCGAAGACGAUCAGAUACCGUCGUAGUCUUAACCAUAAACUAUGCCGACUAGGGAUCGGAUGAUGUUAUUUUUAAUGACUCAUUCG